CGGGUAGAUCUCCCACCCUUGAAUAACAUACAUUGUUGCUUUGGCGGACGCUUCGGCAGCCGCCAGAGAACCCUAAACUCUUGUUUACAGUGUCGUCUGAGUACUAUAUAAUAGUUAAAACUUUCAACAACGGAUCUCUUGGUUCUGGCAUCGAUGAAGAACGCAGCGAAAUGCGAUAAGUAAUGUGAAUUGCAGAAUUCAGUGAAUCAUCGAAUCUUUGAACGCGCAUUGCGCCCCUUGGUAUUCCGGGGGGCAUGCCUGUUCGAGCGUCAUUAUAACCCCUCAAGCUCAGCUUGGUGUUGGGGCCUGCCGACUGGCAGCCCUUAAAAUCAGUGGCGGCGCCAUCUGGCUCUAAGCGUAGUAAUUUCUCUCGCUAUAGAGUCCCGGUGGAUGCUUGCCAGCAACCCCCAACUUUCUAUGGUUGACCUCGGAUCAGGUAGGGAUACCCGCUGAACUUAAGCAUAUCAAUAAGCGGAGGAAAAGAAACCAACAGGGAUUGCCUCAGUAACGGCGAGUGAAGCGGCAACAGCUCAAAUUUGAAAUCUGGCUCUUUCAGGGUCCGAGUUGUAAUUU
Molecule: ribosomal RNA, 573 nt
Filed under: uncultured Helicodendron
Lineage: Eukaryota; Fungi; Ascomycota; Leotiomycetes; Helotiales; Helotiaceae
Description: eukaryotic LSU rRNA
Rfam family: 5.8S ribosomal RNA (bases 119-272)
Source: RNAcentral